CACAGUAGUUUGCAACCCUGGUGAUGACCUGAGACCUUGUUUUCCACGGGUGCUGUUACACUGCUAUUGGAAGAACACCAGGAGAGGCUCAGCUUCUUAACAGACUGUCAGCGUAAGGCUUUCUCCUGGGCAUGAGACAGUGGCCAAGAUACAUACAGAGGCACAUUGGAAAUGCAGUAGAAAAUGGCUGCAGAUUUAAAACCAGAAGUUAAGAAGAGUGAACCCGAAUGUAUAGCAAGAGAGCUUCAGGCUGGACUGGCUUCCAGCAGAAGUGGGACUGGAAACCUUGGAUUCUGUUGCCUCUUCUCUGUGACGUGGGAAAACAUGGAGAACCUUGGCAUUUACCCAGAGAAACAUCCUAAUGUGUACCGCAGCAGGGCGUGGUAAAGAACCUAGAAACAUGUCAGUCAGUAGAAGGUGUGUUGGCCCCCAGAAAGCCAAGCAUUUGUCUGAUGAAGCAUGGAGUGGAUUCUGGCUUAUAGCUUUCAUCACUCGGCUGGGUCCUUUGUCAGCUGAAAAGGUAGCAGCUGAGAGCAUUAGCAGAAACAGUCGAUGGGCUAAGCUCUCUGUGAGAGCUGCAGACUCAAUCAAGGAGGGCUGGGAGCCCAGGUGUUGGCUGUCAUGAGAAGUCCACUUGCGGCAGUGGCAGUGAUCUUCAUAGACACAGGCUCACUGUGCUCAGAGCCCCAUUUUCCCACUGACACUGGCCAAGAUGCAUCCUGGCUGUGCGCAGACCCUGGAGAGAACGAACCGAUAGUGGCAACACUGGCACAGUGGCCAGCCAAGGAGGGAAAAGCAAAGCAAAGAGGACUGAGGCAAAGCAAAAAGAACUGAAGAUAUGAAGACACAUACCUCUACUGGGAAGAGCUCUUCAUAGAACAAGGACAAUGGCCAGCAAGGUGCCAUGCCUGAAAGUAUUCAAUCACCAAGUCCAGCUUCCUGGUCUUACCUAUGUCAUCGGAAGUGUGUAGAUUUUAGGCUAAAGGGCUACUUUGGUUCAAUAGGUGGAAACAAAAAUUCAUUAAGCAUCCUGGAAUUAUUGCUGAACUCAGGGAUGAGGGCAGCUUCGAUUUCUUCUCUGAACAUGGAAUUGUUUGCUGGAUUUUGCAGGCUUGACUCCUUGACUUCAGCAGUGCAGUUAUAGAAACAAGCCAGCAGCAGUGGCCACACCUAAGCUGGGUCGCGCCUUCGAGGCAAGUGUCCCUGCCAAGGUGGGAAAACCUGAGACGCUCCCCGGUGGGUGCAAAUAUGUGGGAGAAAAUUGAAUAAAAUUUCCCCUGGGGCGCCCCCCAGGAAGCAUGCUUCCUUCUCCACUCUCCAUUUGGCUCUCAUUUUCAGUUCCUCUGUGUCUAGGCAAAACCUUUAUGUUGUUUAAAAUGAAAUUAGAACCGAAAGGAAGCAGGGAGCAGUUGUGGCCAAAGAUGACACUGAAAAAAGGUGGAAAUUGGUGGCAGCACCAGGUUUUCCCUGCUGGAGUUCGCACCCCUAAAAUAAGCAGGCAGAAAGUUGGGAGGAAAGCAGAGCUGCAGGCCGCUCAGUCACUGGGUUCCACCAUGGGAUACCCAGUGCCGUGCUGACCCCAGAGCAGAUCCAGACUCUCCUCCCGACUCCCUCACCCCUUCCUCUCCUUUGGGGGUCCUCACAGCACCCCCUACCCCCAGCUCUUACCCAUGCAAUGCACAGGCCCUUCCCUAGUUCUGAAGGGAUUUAUGC
Long non-coding RNA from Rhinopithecus roxellana (golden snub-nosed monkey), 1713 nucleotides. RefSeq lists it as uncharacterized. The record is from RefSeq and is a predicted model, not a curated record. Lineage: Eukaryota; Metazoa; Chordata; Mammalia; Primates; Cercopithecidae. The transcript has 3 exons.